AUUCUGGGCCUGAAACGCCGCUCCCUCCGCCGCCUCCCCCUCCUAUGGCCUUUGGUUUCUCAAAGAGUACUUUUACUUAUGAGGAAUUGGCAAUGGCGACGGAUGGCUUCUCGGAUGCAAAUCUCCUCGGACAAGGUGGAUUCGGAUAUGUGCAUAGAGGAGUUCUUCCUAAUGGAAAGGAAGUUGCAGUCAAGCAGUUGAAAGCUGGGAGCGGG
RNAcentral lists this unclassified non-coding RNA (215 nucleotides) under Hevea brasiliensis (rubber tree). The record is from RNAcentral. Lineage: Eukaryota; Viridiplantae; Streptophyta; Magnoliopsida; Malpighiales; Euphorbiaceae.